GUAGGGAGCAAGCGUUGUCCGGAAUUACUGGGUGUAAAGGGAGUGUAGGCGGGAUGGCAAGUCAGAUGUGAAAUUUAUGGGCUCAACCCAUAACCUGCAUUUGAAACUGCUGUUCUUGAGUGAAGUAGAGGUUGGCGGAAUUCCUAGUGUAGCGGUGAAAUGCGUAGAUAUUAGGAGGAACAUCAGUGGCGAAGGCGGCCAACUGGGCUUUUACUGACGCUGAGGCUCGAAAGCGUGGGGAGCAAUCAGGAUUAGAUACCCUGGUAGUCCACGCUGUAAACGAUGAUUACUAGGUGUGGGGGGGCUGACCCUUUUCCGUGCCGCAGUUAACACAAUAAGUAAUCCACCUGGGGAGU
This 356-nucleotide ribosomal RNA is filed under the name uncultured bacterium. RNAcentral describes it as "bacterial SSU rRNA". It matches the Rfam family "Bacterial small subunit ribosomal RNA", at positions 527 to 881 of the family's 1533-position model. The record is from RNAcentral.